UUUGGAACGAGCUUGAUUGCUCCGAAUUUCAGUGCCUAUCGGACAGCCAGGGAACAUUUGUCCAUUUUUAAGGCAUUAAACUGAGAAGAACCACUGAGGAAAGCAUGCCACGGUCUUUCCCAAAAUCCCUGUGUCUUAAGGAACAACCAAGAAGUUAACUGGUCAGGGAAAAGAUUUCUUUUGGGAUUCAGAAGCCAUCGCUGUGUGCAGAAAUCCAUGACCUGCCCAUGACUUCUACAACCCGGAGGACUUGCCUGACAUUACUGAAAUGCACAGGGGACAGAUUCUGUGGCAGGUGCCGCAUUUUAUCCAGCUCACUCGUGCUAGUUCCUAAGACAUCUUAAUUCUUACACGUACGCAUAAUCGUGAUAUUUUGCCAUGAAUUACAAUAUGUUCCACAAUUAUCGACUAUUUUAAUUUUUAACUUUCUAGCCUGGGACUACUAUAAUAAAAAGAAUUAAUAAAUCCAAAAGUAGUAGUGGAAAAAAUAAAUGUCUCCAGGUUUAUUCCUGUAAAGUUAAUUAGUUAAUACAGAGUGAGGACUCUAAGAGUUUGGGGUUUUUUGUUUGUUUUUGUUUUUUGUUUUGUUUUGUUUUGUUUUGCGUUAAGUAUCAGCAUUAAGUAUCUUCAAGACAAUUCAAAAUAAGAUGAAUCAGAUGAUAAGUCAUUUAGUUGUAAAUUUCACAAAAAUAAUUAAAUACACAGUGUCGGACUACAGCGGAACAGUGGGAAGAACAUUCAGUAUUUGAGAGUAAACAACCCAAAUUAAGAUAAGUUGUUUAGGAAUCUCACAGACAGGAACAUUUUUCUCUCUGGUUUUCCAUGGUAGCAUGUUUACAGUACUUGAAAAAUGUUGCUUUCAAGUCAUGUUAACUGCUUCUUAAGACCAUCAAAUAAGAAAUGAUAUAGCUUAUUAGUUCCAAAAUAGAAAAUCCCAUAACAUCAUUUCCUCUUCAUGUUAAGGUUAAUUUCCAUUAUAAAUAUACCCUUUCAGUAUAAAAUGCUCAACCUCAAAACAUACCAGCUUUUGCCUUUUGAACUAUAAUCCUGAUCCAUAAAUGGUGAUAGAGCUUCAGCUACAUCUCAAACAUUUAUGUUCCACUCUCUUUAUCAAAGAGUGAUUUAUUUUAAGAGAAAAAUUUAUCAAUGUAAGGUAUCUGAAAUGUUCAUUUUUUAAAAAAAGGCUAUAAACAAGUAGCAAGAAGAAGAAUAUGGUUUUCUAUGGGUUACGUUACAUAUCAAAAAAUCCUAAAAUAUUUCAUCACUUUGAUGCACUAUUCUCAAUUUUUAAAAACUCAUUGUCUGAAAGUGAGAUAGAUAUUUUAAUGAUAAUAUGUAAAAAUAAACCAGAUGUACGGUCUUGGAUCUCUGUCGUUGCCUAUAUAUUUAGAUGUCUACCAAAAAAAAUCCAGAUUUUCUGCUUUUCUCAAUCUCAAAUGUUCAAAAUGACUACAUUUUCUAGAAUAUUUACCUAUUGGCUGAUUGUUAUUGUUGAAAAGGAAAUCAAACUAAUUUUGGCAAUAUUGUACCUUACUACAAAUCCUGUUUGUACUAUGAGAGUGGAGAAAAAUAAAAUUUGCAGAAUUCCA
Molecule: long non-coding RNA, 1589 nt
Organism: Cercocebus atys (sooty mangabey)
Lineage: Eukaryota; Metazoa; Chordata; Mammalia; Primates; Cercopithecidae
Exons: 2
Source: RefSeq, a predicted model, not a curated record